AUGCUCGCUUUGGCAGCAUAUAUACUAAAAUUGGAAUGAUACAGAAAAGAUUAGCAUGGUCCCUGCGCAAGGAUGAUACACAAAUUCAUGAAGCAGUCCAUACUUUU
Molecule: small nuclear RNA, 107 nt
Organism: Rattus norvegicus (Norway rat)
Lineage: Eukaryota; Metazoa; Chordata; Mammalia; Rodentia; Muridae
Source: Ensembl